This 356-nucleotide unclassified non-coding RNA is filed under the name soil metagenome. RNAcentral describes it as "partial contains 5.8S ribosomal RNA, internal transcribed spacer 2, and large subunit ribosomal RNA". The stretch from base 1 to 119 matches the Rfam family "5.8S ribosomal RNA", at positions 35 to 154 of the family's 154-position model. The record is from RNAcentral.
GAUGAAGAACGCAGCGAAAUGCGAUAAGUAAUGCGAAUUGCAGAAUCCGUGAGUCAUCGAAUCUUUGAACGCACAUUGCGCCCUUUGGUAUUCCGAAGGGCAUGCCUGUUCGAGCGUCAUUAUCACCCCUCAAGCUCCGGCUUGGUGUUGGGCUACACGGUAGCUAUACCGCGGGCCUCAAAGAUAGUGACGGCGUCCCAGAUGGAACCGGUACGAGGAGCUUUUAACCAAGCAUGUACGCGGCGUGAAUCUGUGGGCGGCGGUCUUUAACCUCUACUCUUCGGAGUACUUUUAAGUGUUGACCUCGGAUCAGGUAGGGAUACCCGCUGAACUUAAGCAUAUCAAUAAGCGGAGGA